UGGGGAAUAUUGCACAAUGGGCGCAAGCCUGAUGCAGCCAUGCCGCGUGUGUGAAGAAGGCCUUCGGGUUGUAAAGCACUUUCAGCGAGGAGGAAGGUGGUGAACUUAAUACGUUCAUCAAUUGACGUUACUCGCAGAAGAAGCACCGGCUAACUCCGUGCCAGCAGCCGCGGUAAUACGGAGGGUGCAAGCGUUAAUCGGAAUUACUGGGCGUAAAGCGCACGCAGGCGGUUUGUUAAGUCAGAUGUGAAAUCCCCGGGCUCAACCUGGGAACUGCAUUUGAAACUGGCAAGCUAGAGUCUCGUAGAGGGGGGUAGAAUUCCAGGUGUAGCGGUGAAAUGCGUAGAGAUCUGGAGGAAUACCGGUGGCGAAGGCGGCCCCCUGGACGAAGACUGACGCUCAGGUGCGAAAGCGUGGGGAGCAAACAGAUUAGAUACCCUGGUAGUCCACGCUGU
This 455-nucleotide ribosomal RNA is filed under the name uncultured bacterium. RNAcentral describes it as "partial 16S ribosomal RNA". It matches the Rfam family "Bacterial small subunit ribosomal RNA", at positions 355 to 803 of the family's 1533-position model. The record is from RNAcentral.